This 440-nucleotide ribosomal RNA is filed under the name uncultured bacterium. Its description in RNAcentral is "partial 16S ribosomal RNA". It matches the Rfam family "Bacterial small subunit ribosomal RNA", at positions 338 to 795 of the family's 1533-position model. The record is from RNAcentral.
CCUACGGGAGGCAGCAGUGGGGAAUAUUGCACAAUGGGGGAAACCCUGAUGCAGCGACGCCGCGUGAGUGAAGAAGUAUCUCGGUACGUAAAGCUCUAUCAGCAGGAAAGAAAAUGACGGUACCUGACUACGACGCCCCGGCUAACUACGUGCCAGCAGCCGCGGUCAUACGUAGGGGGCAAGCGUUAUCCGGCUUUACUGGGUGUAAAGGGAGCGUAGACGGCGCUGCAAGUCCGGGGUGAAAGCCCAUGGCUUAACCAUGGUACUGCUCUGGAAACUGUAGAGCUUGAGUGCGGGAGGGGCAGGCGGAAUUCCGAGUGUAGCGGUGAAAUGCGUAGAUAUUAGGAGGAACACCGGCGGCGAAGGCGGCCUGCUGGACCGUAACUGACGUUGAGGCUCGAAAGCGUGGGGAGCAAACAGGAUUAGAUACCCGGGUAGUC